Molecule: transfer RNA, 76 nt
Filed under: Paenibacillus illinoisensis
Lineage: Bacteria; Bacillati; Bacillota; Bacilli; Caryophanales; Paenibacillaceae
Also listed under: 1 other name
Description: tRNA-Pro
Rfam family: tRNA
About the family: Transfer RNA (tRNA) molecules are approximately 80 nucleotides in length.
Source: RNAcentral
UCGGGGUAUAGCGCAGCCUGGUAGCGCGCACCCUUGGGGUGGGUGAGGUCGUGGGUUCAAAUCCCGCUACUCCGAU